RNAcentral lists this ribosomal RNA (478 nucleotides) under uncultured bacterium. Its description in RNAcentral is "bacterial SSU rRNA". It matches the Rfam family "Bacterial small subunit ribosomal RNA", at positions 29 to 506 of the family's 1533-position model. The record is from RNAcentral.
AUGAACGCUAGCGGCAGGCCUAAUACAUGCAAGUCGAGGGGUAGUGGAAGCUUGCUUCCAUGAGACCGGCGCACGGGUGCGUAACGCGUAUGCAAUCUACCUCUAUCUGGGGGAUAGCCCGAAGAAAUUCGGAUUAACACCGCAUAAAAUCACAGUACGGCAUCGUACAAUGAUCAAAUAUUUAUAGGAUAGGGAUGAGCAUGCGUGUCAUUAGUUAGUUGGCGGGGUAACGGCCCACCAAGACCACGAUGACUAGGGGAUCUGAGAGGAUGACCCCACACACUGGUACUGAGACACGGACCAGACUCCUACGGGAGGCAGCAGUAAGGAAUAUUGGUCAAUGGAGGCAACUCUGAACCAGCCAUGCCGCGUGCAGGAAGACAGCCCUCUGGGUCGUAAACUGCUUUUAUUCGGGAAUAAACCUACUUACGUGUAAGUAGCUGAAUGUACCGAAGGAAUAAGGAUCGGCUAACUCCGU